AGCAGCCGCGGUAAUUCCAGCUCCAAUAGCGUAUAUUAAAGUUGUUGCAGUUAAAAAGCUCGUAGUUGAAUUUCGAGACCGGCUUACUGGUCGUGCUUUUGUGCGUACUGGUAUAAUCGGUUUCUCCUUUCUGACGAACUAUAAUGCCAUUAAUUUGGUGUUAUAGGGAAUCAGGACUGUUACUUUGAAAAAAUUAGAGUGUUUAAAGCAGGCUCACGCUUGAAUACAUUAGCAUGGAAUAACGGAAUAGGACGUUUGAUUCUAUUUUGUUGGUUUCUAGGAUCGACGUAAUGAUUAAUAGGGAUAGUUGGGGGCAUUAGUAUUCAAUUGUCAGAGGUGAAAUUCUUGGAUUUAUUGAAGACUAACUACUGCGAAAGCAUUUGCCAAGGAUGUUUUCAUUAAUCAAGAACGAAAGUUAGGGGAUCGAAGACGAUCAGAUACCGUCGUAGUCUUAACCAUAAACUAUGCCGACUAGGGAUCGGAUGAUGUUAAUUUUUAAUGACUCAUUCGGCGCCUUACG
Molecule: ribosomal RNA, 520 nt
Filed under: uncultured Glomus
Lineage: Eukaryota; Fungi; Glomeromycota; Glomeromycetes; Glomerales; Glomeraceae
Description: SSU rRNA
Rfam family: Eukaryotic small subunit ribosomal RNA
Source: RNAcentral